CCUACGGGAGGCUGCAGUGGGGAAUAUUGGGCAAUGGACGCAAGUCUGACCCAGCAACGCCGCGUGAAGGAAGAAGGCUUUCUGGUUGUAAACUUCUUUUAAUGGGGAAGAGCAGAAGACGGUACCCCUUGAAUAAGCCACGGCUAACUACUUGCCAGCAGCCGCGGUAAUACGUAGGUGGCAAGCGUUGUCCGGAUUUACUGGGUGUAACGGGCGUGCGGCCGGAGAGAAAAGUCAGAUGUGAAAUCCACGGGCUCAACCCGGGAACUGCAUUUGAAAUUGUUUCCCUUGAGUGUCGGUGAGGAAGGCGAAAUGGAUGGGGUAGCGGUGAAAGGCUUAGAUAUAAUACAGAACAC
RNAcentral lists this ribosomal RNA (356 nucleotides) under uncultured bacterium. RNAcentral describes it as "partial 16S ribosomal RNA". It matches the Rfam family "Bacterial small subunit ribosomal RNA", at positions 338 to 709 of the family's 1533-position model. The record is from RNAcentral.